UACGUAGGGGGCAAGCGUUGUCCGGAAUCAUUGGGCGUAAAGCGCGUGUAGGCGGCUCGGUAAGUCCGCUCUGAAAGUCCAGGGCUCAACCCUGGGAUGCGGGUGGAUACUGCCGAGCUCGAGUCCGGAAGAGGCGAGUGGAAUUUCUGGUGUAGCGGUGAAAUGCGCAGAUAUCAGGAGGAACACCAAUGGCGAAGGCAGCUCGCUGGGACGUGACUGACGCUGAGACGCGAAAGCGUGGGGAGCAAACAGG
This 253-nucleotide ribosomal RNA is filed under the name uncultured bacterium. RNAcentral's name for it is "partial 16S ribosomal RNA". It matches the Rfam family "Bacterial small subunit ribosomal RNA", at positions 524 to 776 of the family's 1533-position model. The record is from RNAcentral.